AGCGAACGCUGGCGGCAGGCCUAACACAUGCAAGUCGAACGAACUCUUCGGAGUUAGUGGCGGACGGGUGAGUAACCCGUGGGAACGUGCCUUUUGGUUCGGAAUAACUCAGGGAAACUUGUGCUAAUACCGAAUGUGCCCUUCGGGGGAAAGAUUUAUCGCCAUUAGGGCGGCCCGCGUCUGAUUAGCUAGUUGGUGAGGUAACGGCUCACCAAGGCGAAGAUCAGUAGCUGGUCUGAGAGGAUGACCAGCCACACUGGGACUGAGACACGGCCCAGACUCCUACGGGAGGCAGCAGUGGGGAAUCUUGCGCAAUGGGCGAAAGCCUGACGCAGCCAUGCCGCGUGAAUGAUGAAGGUCGUAGGAUUGUAAAAUUCUUUCACCGGGGACGAUAAUGACGGUACCCGGAGAAGAAGCCCCGGCUAACUUCGU
Molecule: ribosomal RNA, 432 nt
Filed under: uncultured bacterium
Lineage: Bacteria
Description: partial 16S ribosomal RNA
Rfam family: Bacterial small subunit ribosomal RNA
Source: RNAcentral